Carassius gibelio (silver crucian carp) is the source of this 1906-nucleotide long non-coding RNA. RefSeq lists it as uncharacterized. The transcript has 3 exons. The record is from RefSeq and is a predicted model, not a curated record. Lineage: Eukaryota; Metazoa; Chordata; Actinopteri; Cypriniformes; Cyprinidae.
AUAAAAGAAGUCAAAUAUCAUGAUCUAUAUUUUUACUAGAAUGAAUCUGCCAUCUAGCGGUUCUUUAGGCUCAGUACACUCGAUUACUGGUGAAAUAUUUAUAGUGAAAAUUUAAUAUAGCACUAUUAUUUACUCAAAAAGUAGUGUUUGUGUGUGUGUUUUACUUUUUAAAUAAUAGACUGGGAAUAUACGUUUUCUUUUGUCUGUAAUUUUUGCAUGUAUAUGUAGCUAUAUUUAAAAAUAAUACCUCUAAAAAUGUUCUGCAUAAUCAUAAUUCAUUUCCCUAAAAAAAAAUGUAACAUUAAACUGAAAAUUCAAAUUGAAACAUUGCCAUAGAUUAAAACUCUCUCUUCUUUCUUAGAAUUUUGAAAUUAACCAUAACCUAAAAGAACAGAAGCCAGUGACAAUACAAACCUGGAAUCUAUCGCAUUUAAUUGUGAUGUUUUGUUUUGCUAUAUAGACAGCACUUAAACUAUAAAAUGUCUCAAGCUGGUAAACAUACAGUACAUACAGAGGAUUUUUAAGUCAGUGAGCUGCAUUGAUUUACAUAACAUUUACUUUAGACUAUUGGAGAUCACAAGAACACCAGUUUAUGAAUUUGUAACAGCCCCUUGAAGUCUAUAGCAUCUGUGACAACUGCCAGAGACAUCACUGCAUUGUGAUUGGGUGUUGAAAACACUGGCAGGGAGCUUCAGUUGUCUGAACGGAGGCUGUUAGGAUAGUUCUGCAAAGCUCAGUGAGGAUACCAUCAUUUUAAACAAUGAGCUUCUGCUUGCUACUAGUUUUAAUGCCAUUCAUUGGUGCCAGUAUACAAGACAGCAUUACCCCAACAUCUCCUGCAAUCCAUGCAAUGGUCAAUGAAAAAAAUACCAUCUCUGUUUAAAUACCAUUACAAUCUGUCAAUGAAUAGUCUACAGUGGUAUCGACAUUCUCUCAACUCUGCGCCGGAAUUCCUGGUUCUAAUCAUGGAGUCAGGACAAAAUCAAACGGCUACACCUCCUCACCCUCGUCUGACAGCUUCAGUCAAUAAAGAAAACAAGGCUGUGAAUCUGGAAAUCUUUCCUGCAGAUGUGAAGGAUUCUGCAGUGUAUUACUGCACACUGCAGCCCACAGUGGGAGGAAAUGCAUGUACACCAUACAAAAACCUUCUCAGAGCUAAAAGGAGAAGAAAAUGGUUUAAAUCAACCUGAGACCAAAGAGUCUGGACAAAUGCCACAAGGGGGCAGCACUUUUUUACCGCACUUGACAACAUCAGAAGCAUGCAGGGAUGUUGACGUGUGACAAGUGGUACUAGACUGCUCAGAAACAAAUAGGAACACCAAUUGUGAACAGAGGCAUAGCUGAUCAGUAAAUUCAGGAUGAGAAGAUCAGUGGUAUUAAUUCUCGUAGCUGCGUCAGUUGCUCUUGGUGAUCGCAUUGUCCCAGAUCAAGCUGUUAUUAUCAGAGAUGAAACCGACCGGGUCACAUUGAGUUGCUCGUAUGAAACAAGCAGUGAAUAUGUUUAUCUUUAUUGGUACAGACAGUAUCCUAAAAGUGAGCCACAGUACAUACUGUGGAAAGGUGCACGAUCAAGAGAUGGUUGGGGUGAUACACCAGAUCCUCAUUUUGAAUCUUCUAUAACCAGAACAUCCACUGAACUGAUUAUUAAAGCAGCUACUCUGAACGAUUCAGCUCUCUAUUACUGUGCUCUUCGGAAAAAAACCCAGUGAUACAAAGUUUCUGAGAAGCUUUACAAAAACACACAUGCUUUGAACUCAAAAUCAUCAAAGUAUUAGCCAAACCAAAAUGUAUUAUCUGCCAAAACCAUUACUGUAUGUGGGAACACCUGCAACUGAUACAGCAGCCAAAACCAAGAGAUUCAUAAAUUUAAUAAAGCAGCAUUGUGUAGUGCACUGUGAGGACAGAA